Molecule: ribosomal RNA, 253 nt
Filed under: uncultured bacterium
Lineage: Bacteria
Description: partial 16S ribosomal RNA
Rfam family: Bacterial small subunit ribosomal RNA
Source: RNAcentral
UACGAAGGGGGCGAGCGUUGUUCGGAUUUACUGGGCGUAAAGGGCGCGUAGGCGGCGCAAGAAGUCAGGCGUGAAAGCCCCGGGCUCAACCUGGGAAUUGCGCUUGGGACUCUUGGGCUCGAGUUCGGGAGAGGAGCGUGGAAUUCCCAGUGUAGAGGUGAAAUUCGUAGAUAUUGGGAAGAACACCGGUGGCGAAGGCGGCGCUCUGGACCGAGACUGACGCUGAGGCGCGAAAGCGUGGGGAGCAAACAGG